This 1993-nucleotide long non-coding RNA is filed under the name Theobroma cacao (cacao). RNAcentral describes it as "long non-coding RNA (TCAC_LNC006017)". Lineage: Eukaryota; Viridiplantae; Streptophyta; Magnoliopsida; Malvales; Malvaceae. The record is from RNAcentral.
CUGGCCAAAGAAGAACAAAGGAAGAAAAGAAAGAACAAGAACCCUAGGGUGAAAAUUCAAGAGAAAAAUUGGUGGAUUUCAAGUAAUCAAGCAAUCAAAGGUAAAAUUUCUUGAUUUUGACUUGUGAUCUACCUUUCCCAUGCAUUAUUUUGCAUUUUUCAUGGUUGAAUCACAAGAUAUCAUGAAGGAUUCAUGGCUGACAGAAUUUAGAGAGAGAAGAUUUGAUGGUUGUUUUGGUUAGAUUUUAAGAUUUCUAGUGUUUUUAGUUAGUUGGUGAUGUGUAGCAUGAAAAUUAAACAAGAAAAAUUCAUUUUCUCCCAUAACCCAUCAUUGGCUAAAUUUUCCAUGUAGAAUGUGGAUGAUGAUUUGAUUUUAUUUCAAGUGAAUUGGUUAGGAAAUGAUGAAUUAUGGUGAGAAAAUCAAGUAGGAAAAAUCAUAAUGUUGAUGCACCCACCAUGGCCGAAUUUUCCAAGAGAAAAUGUGAAGAUGAUUUUGCUAGAUUUUAUGCUAUUUGACUUGUGUUUGAUGAUUUGGAGUAUUGGGAGAAAAAUGAAAUUAUUUGGAGUUAAAUUGGACAUAUUGGCCUAUUAAUCGAGAGAUAGAUCGAAUUAGGCCAAUACCGUUUUAUUUAGGUACACAAUUGAAUUUGUGUAGAAUACCGUGUUUAGAUGAUAAUCCGAACAAUUUGCAUCCCAUUUCAUGCAUUAGUAAAGAGUCUGAAAUAGAUUUAUAAUGGUAUGACACAGUAUAUUGAAUUAUGUGUCGUGUAUUGUAUAUAGGUGGUGAGCCCUCUAACAAGGGUAAAGACAUUGUGUCAGAGGACUGAGAAUAGGAGUAUUUCAAACUCCUGAUACUAUGAGUAACCUUACUAUCAUCUUAAUUAUCUAGAGUGGUUUUUAUCCGAUUUUGUGAUUUUAUGGAAAAUGAGUUUAAAUGGUAAAUUUUUAGGUUUUAUAAACAAAUGUGUUUAAAUAAAAUGAUUUCAUAAAUGGUCUUGAAAUUGAAUGAAGGCUUUAAAAAGAGAGUAAUUGGAGACCAUUUGAUUUAUUGUGAAUUUAUGGUUUUAAUUGAUUGGCUUAUGACAAUAUUGGCAUGAAUGGUUGAAUUGGUAUUUGUGUUGAAAUGUAUAAACUGUUGUUUGCCUUGAUAGGCUGGAUAAUGAUAAAAUUGCCAUAUCAUACUGUUGAAAUUUUAUUGUAUGGUGGGUUUAGCUUGCUGCAGUGGGUUGGUUCUGUAGACCAGCCUAUUAGAGGGGCACGGAACCUGGUCAUAUUCAUACCUCAGUAUGAGAGGCACGGAUGGAUAACUCCUGAGGUUAACACUUUAGAGUUCACUUCACGCCAAACCACCACGUGAGGGUGAACUUAGCCAACGCCAAGGAACGACUAUGUUUUCAAAAUAAAAACGUGAUUUAUGUGUACCUAACUUUUUAACAGCCUUGGCUAUCUCAGUUGCGAUAGCCCUCGGCCAAGGCAUCCUUAAUAACUGACUAUGAAAAUGAUUUUGGCACGAGCCAAAGCUUUUAAGAAAUUCAUAAGCCAUGUUGAUUACUCGAUUUAUAUGAAUUGAUUUUAUUUGGUUGAAAUGAGUUGAAAGGUGAUGAAUUACAGUAUAUUAAAUUGUUUUAUCUGUCUCCAUUUACUCAGCUUUAGAUAUUUUAGAUGGUAUUUGUUUACUCACUGGGAUUGUAUAAUCUCACCACCCUCCUUUCCACCCAUUUCAGGCUUAGGAUAAUCUAUAGAUAGGUUAUUUCAUCGAGGACCACUAUUGGAUUUACAUCCUCCAAACUGUAGGUUCACAAUUUUUCUUACUUUUGGUUAAUCGAGGGCCCACUUGUUACUGUAAAUUAAAUUAAAUAGUCCGACUUACUGUAUUACGAUAUAUAUGAAUUUAUUUUGCUUUUACGUUGUAAAAAUUAUUUAUGCAGUGUUCUAAAAAUAUUAUUUUAUGAGAAAAUUGAACAUUUUAUUCAAUAUUUUUAUUUUAUUCUAAU